CCGACGGUGAGAGACGAAAGCUGGGGGAGCAAACCGGAUUAGAUACCCGGGUAGUCCCAGCCGUAAACGAUGUGCGUUAGGUGUAUCGGUGACCACGAGUCACCGAGGUGCCGAAGAGAAAUCGUGAAACGUACCGCCUGGGAAGUACGGUCGCAAGGCUGAAACUUAAAGGAAUUGGCGGGGGAGCACCACAACAGGUGGAGCCUGCGGUUUAAUCGGACUCAACGCCGGGAAACUCACCAGAUAAGACAGCUGAAUGAUAGUCGGGCUGAAGACUCUACUUGACUAGCUGAGAGGAGGUGCAUGGCCGUCGUCAGUUCGUACUGUGAAGCAUCCUGUUAAGUCAGGCAACGAGCGAGACCCACGCAACAGUUGCUA
This 378-nucleotide ribosomal RNA is filed under the name uncultured archaeon. RNAcentral describes it as "bacterial SSU rRNA". It matches the Rfam family "Archaeal small subunit ribosomal RNA", at positions 691 to 1069 of the family's 1478-position model. The record is from RNAcentral.